AGCCUACUCCCUCCGUCCGAAUAAACUUGUCCCUCAAAUUGUUGUAUCUAGCACUACGUUAGUGCUAGAUACAUCCAUUUGAAGGACAAGCUUGGGACAAGUUUUUUCGGACGGAGGUAAUACGUG
This is a non-coding RNA of Triticum aestivum (bread wheat), 126 nucleotides long. The record is from Rfam. NCBI's taxonomy places the organism in Eukaryota, Viridiplantae, Streptophyta, Magnoliopsida, Poales, Poaceae.